CACCCAUUUUCUGCAUGCGUGCCUUAGAUUUUAAAGGGAGGAAUGAGUAACCGUGCAUGCCCAAUCGUCUCUCUCGCUAUUUGAGUGAAAAAAUCCUCCACCCUCGAAUUCUUCGUUAUCCACGGCUUCUAAAACCUGAUAUCCAAUUUCUUCGUCUUCCUGCCUUUAAUCAUUAACCAUGAAACACACAGGUUCCAUUUUUGAGGAUUAUUUGUUAAUCAUGGGGAUGUUCUUCAUGAUUUUGAGUUUGGGCUUAGUUCCCAAGGAAGAUCAGUCAGAAUUUAUUUUGAAUAAAACUCCAAUUACUGAUGUAAAUGUGUCCUCAUGUUGGAGCACCAAAGAAAGACGGGCUCAAACCCUAGGAAUAAAAAAACUCAGAAGAAUUAAAAUAUCAAACCCCGUCUGUGAAUCAAGGAGAUGGGAAUUAUUCUUCCUUUUGUUUUCUCUUGGUUGUUUGAUAGAAUUGAUUUGAUGAAUUGGAUUUUGUUUCAUCGAUGUUGUGAGUUUUGAUGAAAUAGUGAUGGGUAAUUGGGGCGAUUUACGUUUUAUUUUUUUGCUAAGUACACAACUGUAUUCAUAUGUGUAGAAAUUGCAUCUCUGAUGUUGUCGUUUGAUCCCAAUACACGCAGCCUUGAUAAUUUUGUUAUGCUUUAGGACAUAUGUGAUGUGUAUAAACCAUUCCAUCUUCCAUCAUUUGCACUCUUUGACUAUACAAACCUCUGCAUUUUAUUAUGUGUUGUCUAGGGGUUGUUCAUUUCUUCAUGUAUUACAAUUCUUCCCAAGCAGAAUAGUUUUUGAUAGAUUUUGUUCAGUGGGAUAUGUAAGAAUAGAGAUUCCAGAACAUUAAAUAGUGACAAAAGAUGAAGCUUCUUAAAAUAAAGUAUCUACCGACAGAAUUGAAGCUUCUUAUUUAGUGUAACUAUGAAAUUUGAAAAUCUUAGGCUUACCCUAUUAUAUAUCAUUAAGUUUCUUUUUGUUGAAUUGGUUUAACUAUUCAUCUACUUUGAACUUAUUUGAGGGUCUGUUGUGGUUUGAGUAUCAAGAAAUUAUAAUUUUGUGUGAAAUUAGAUUCUUAGUUUUUAUGGUCUUUUGAAGGGUUUGGGUCUGGGUUAGAAUUUUAUAAAAUGGAAGUUGUGGUGGUUGAUAUAGAUUUUUAUAUAAAAUUAGAACUACUAUGAGGGUUUGUGUUUAACUUUGAAGGAAUAGAAAUUCUAUGAAGUUAUUGUGUUUUUGGCAUGAAGAAUUUGAAAUUGGGUCCCGAAGAAGGUAAGAUUUGAAGUACAAGGUGCCAACGUUGGGUUGCAAGAUGUGAGGAGAAAGUCUAUUGUUAGAAAAACAUUCACAAGAAAGAUACAUAUCGAUUGCAUUUCCAGCUUUUUUUAAAAAAAAAAAAAAAAUCACGCAAAGGUCAUCUGCUGAAGUUGUUACUUUUGAACUUUUGGUUCCAUAUAGAUUUUGUUAUAUUGCUACAUUAUUGAGUUCAUUUUUAUCUAUUACCCGCUUACAUUUACUGAUUUGUUUUCUUAUGUAAAGGUAUGACCUACUCUGUAAAAGAAGACCAGUGCCUCACAAAGAGUGUAUAGCCAUGGCUUCUGAGGUAAUCAUCAACAUGGUAGUGAUGCAGUUUUCUAGGUUGAUAGCCAACAGUUUUGCAUUUCUGAUUGUUAGAAAAACGUCUUAAUUCAUGGUAAAUCAAAUAGAAGAUAGAGAACGAACCAACACCCAGAUACCAGGAACAUCAUUAAAUAAAUAGACGGAAGUUUGCAUGAAUUUUGGUAACUCACUAUGACAGAAGCGGCGAAAUAUGGAGGAGGAUUUGGUGUUUAUCAUCCCAAAAGAGAUAAGGAGGUUUAGUUCUGCACAUUUUCCAACUAGAUUUUCCAUUGAAAUUUAUCUUGCAUUUGGUAUUUAUGGUGCACGAUAGACUUAUCUCACAAACCAAAAUGUUCAUUUGGAAGUCCAAAUCCUGUGAUGGAGCAUUUGGUGCAUAUGAUCGCCACAUGUGGUAGUGAUGACAUAUCAUGUUAAUCUGAUCUUGCAUAUUACAGAUAUUUCACUCAUGAGAACAUUGGUUAUUAACAGCUUCCAGUUCAUACAAAAACAUAGUAACUGCUUCAUCCUACAUGGCAAACGAAACAAAACAACAACUUCUAAAUCCUACUCAAGCAUUCAUCUCGAACCAGUCCAAAUCAAAAAAACAAGUUGCCAAGCAGGAAGUAUGCGAGCCAAUAAUUUAUCACCACAAAGGUAAUUCAAGAUAUAUGAAGGAUCGGAGAUAUGGCAUGAAGUUUCACAUGCCAUGACACAAGUUAUGAUGGCCUCGUGGUACUUCGAGGCAUCAUCUGUUUAGCAGUGGAGAAUACUGGAUCCUUGAGCUCCCCUGCAAGUAUUGCUCCUUCACAUGGAUUUUUUUUUUCCUAGAGUUAGCUCUAGCAUAUGGCUGUGUAACUACAAUAUUUGUAGGGAUAAUUAAUAUUCAUCCAGCACUGUAAUUAAAAUGCCAGAAUCAACAGUUUUCUUA
Papaver somniferum (opium poppy) is the source of this 2521-nucleotide RNA transcript. RefSeq lists it as uncharacterized. NCBI's taxonomy places the organism in Eukaryota, Viridiplantae, Streptophyta, Magnoliopsida, Ranunculales, Papaveraceae. The transcript is spliced from 4 exons. The record is from RefSeq and is a predicted model, not a curated record.